Long non-coding RNA from Cygnus olor (mute swan), 3113 nucleotides. RefSeq lists it as uncharacterized. The transcript has 3 exons. Lineage: Eukaryota; Metazoa; Chordata; Aves; Anseriformes; Anatidae. The record is from RefSeq and is a predicted model, not a curated record.
UAGGACAAAACAUAUCACAAGAUCUCUCUGCAUGGUCUUGUGUCUCCUGCUUCUUCCUUUCCCUCUCUCUCUGUGGCCACAAGGAAUCCUGCUAAUCCACCUCUCUGCAUGAAGAUGAAGAGAUCAUUCUUAACAGCGCACUUAGAGCAGCUCUCUAAGAAUUUUUCCAGCAAACCAUUCACCACAGCCCUCUGAAAAAGUGUGAUUGGUUUUGAUAAGUAUGUUUUGCCAUGCCAUCUUUCGUCAGGAAUUCAUCUUCCAAAAGAGCCACUACCUCAUCAUGAAUACUCAUCAUUAAUACAAGUACACAGGUGAAGGAUGGCUCAGCAGCGUGAUGUCUCCCUGAUGUGCACAGGAUUUGACCAUUCCUCUCAGUCGGCCCAGCCCUGCAGAUUGCCCUGCUGGUCCUCCUUGCUUUAGGCCAAAUGCCUCCUCCUUUGCAGCACCUCACCAUCUGGUCCAGCCCAAAGGUACGUCCCUGCUUUAUCAGUUCAGCACCUCUUUUCACAUUUCACUUGAAAAUGCACAUGCGAGAUAAGGAGAAAUUUCUUCCAGAUGUCAGGAACUGAAAAUUAACAAAUCCUUGAACAGACAGAGGUGAUAUUAUGUGAUGGGAACACUCUGGGAUAAUUAGAAAGAGAAAAAAGUCUUCUUUUAGAGGUCAAGGUUUAAAUCUCCUUGAAGACGUUUUAAGUAUUUAAUGUCUCCGCACUACUCCCAGCACUAUCUCAUCCAGAAUUUGUCUAAAUAAAGGCCUGGGAACAUUUCAGAAAUAUGUUCUAUGUAUUGAAGAAUGACAAACUGCAAAGACAAGACAAAUCAGCCGUAAAUCCGGACUGGUUCUGGGGUCUGUCCUGUCCAGUCUGUCCUGUCCCAGGCUGUGCAGCUUCUCCUAAGGGACCUGGGAGCUUCUCCACCUCGAGAGACAUCAGCUCAGCGUUCCCACCGGUGGGCUGUGGAGCAGAGAGGUGUCCUCCAAGUUGUAGCUGCAAGCUCCAUAUUGCACACAUGGGGCAUUUUCCAGACACAGGGCACGUUUACUUGGCUCCUCACCACCACAACUUUCCAUUUACAAUGGGAACAAAACAAACGCAGCCCUUGUUCCAAAACCCUCGUGCGGUAAAUGCGCACAAUUGAAUGAUUGCUGUAGUGGUAGUGGUUUAUGACUUACUCCAUUUAGCCUGGUUCUUUGUAGCUGGGUGAAUACAUAUUCGUCUGCUUCAUAUGAGAGUAAGUCUGGUUCUGAUUAGGCUUGCAGAGAGCUGUCAGAAAGUCAGACUCUAGCAAAUAAGCCCCUGUAGGUUCACUUGGAAAAGCCCAUAAAAUGUCUGCUGUUCAUUUAAAUUAGGUUCAGAAAGAAACACGAACCUGAAAGCUGCCAGUGUUUAUAUAUUUGAUUAAGGGUGUUUUUUUCUUUGGAGGCAGAGGAGGCUGGGAGAGGAGUUAUUUGGGGAAUGAGCCUCGUCAGAGCGGCCGUAGGCCCAGGUCCUCGUUCCUGCAGACAAAGCGAGGGACAAGCAGGCAAGGGCAGGCACCCUGAGCUGCAGCGUAGCUAGAGUAAAUCCCACCUCUGAACCAAAGCCCAGCAGUGGAGGAGCAGCACAGCUACCUGGCAGUCAAUUUUGAAACCAUGACAGAUGUGGCAGUGGCAAAAACAACUUCUCAACAUAGAUUUCACAUCCAUGGCUUAAUUGCAGUUUCUCAACGCACCUCCUCUGAGCACAUUUGCCUGGGCUGCAGCCCGGAUGGCAAAAGAAAAAAAGGUUGAAAACAGCAGGUAGCACUCCUGAGCUCGCCAUGUCUGACAAGGUCUGAACACCACGCAUUGACUACACAUUCUCAGAUGCAACUUUAAUGUUGGCUCACCAAAAAAUGCAACAGCCUGGGAGUGACAACAGCCCCAAAAGGAGCUGUUCCUUGCAUGUGCGUGCACGAAACACCGCCUGCAGGCGAUGCCCUGCAUCCAUCCUACCACUUCUUUGCUGCUCUGCCUCCUCCAAGGAGCUCGUUCUCCCAUGUUGGGAUCUCAUUUCACAGUUUUAGGGUUCUCUGGGCAUUGAAACAUGCUAGUUUAGUUAUUGUUGCUGGCAGGAAGGCGGCAAAGGGCAAGCAAGAGGCACUGCCCUUGUUUCAGUCAGACCUUCCUUCGUGCCAUGGCAGGGUCAGGCUGCGUUCGGCUGAGCACAUGUGUGCUAAUUAUAGGAAGCAGUUAACAGGCACAAGGAAUUAUCUGUAUCUUAUCCAGUGCCGGCUUUCUAUUAAUUGUUCCCAAAGACUGAGGCUUUUCAGACUUUCGUUUUAAUUAGAAGGAGCAGCUGCCAAAAGCAAUUUCUCUCAGGCAUCUUUCAGCAUGCGUUGAAGUCUUCAUUUAUCUGAUAUUAUUACAAGGCUGGGUUUAAAAAAAAUAAAACAACAAACAUUAGAAGAGCCCAUCUUUUCAGGUUCUGAGAAGUCUCUUGGACAGCAGCUGGGGGGAAAGCUUGUCUCCUGUCCUUGGCUCAGCCACAUCUCCCAAGCAGCUUUGGUCACUAAAGGCACUAUGAUGUGUGUCAGGGUGAGAACAGGCUACCUUUAAGCCUGUUUGAAAACAGGUCAAGGGGAUGGCUAUCUGCAGGACUGCUUAAAGGCACAGUUGUGUUUCUUGGGUGGUUUAGGGAAGCUUUCUGCAGAGAGGCAAUCUGCCUUUUGAUCAUAUUCCCUCUACUCCUCCCUCCCUGCCUGAUUUUAGUCCACGAGAGGCAAGGAGCCUCCUGUAAAAGCAAACGGGCAGAGAAAAUGUGGAGGGAGAACAACGGGGACAAAGAAAGCAUGCUGGAUGCCCAGACACAGAUGCAUUAACAGGAUGUUCCAGUGACAAUGGCAGCCCCACACAGGUUGCCUGCUUGGCUCCUAACGGUUGCAUAGUUCAUACGUGAUGGGCCAAACCAUCCCCAGUAUGAGGAAAGUGCCAUCUGACCAAGGGAACGCAGUCUUCUAAGCUCUGGGUGGCCUGGGACUUGCAGGGAAACAGCACAAACCCAGGAACAUUGCAGAAAACACUUUCACAGAGGUAUUUUGUCUAUGACAAGUAACAUACACAUGUUGCAGAGAUGGCCACGAUGUCCUCUGGAGAA